Oreochromis aureus is the source of this 1063-nucleotide long non-coding RNA. RefSeq lists it as uncharacterized. The transcript has 14 exons. The record is from RefSeq and is a predicted model, not a curated record. NCBI's taxonomy places the organism in Eukaryota, Metazoa, Chordata, Actinopteri, Cichliformes, Cichlidae.
UUCAGUUUUCACCCCUCCCCCCUCACUUCGUGACUUGGAGUUGAGGAGUAUUGAAGCUUGGCUGUGAACUGGUGUGGAGACGCUAACAGACAGUGCAUUGCAAUGAGGCAGCCAAGAGAAAAGAUUAAACCCAUAGAUGAAGCUGAUGUGCCCAUGGCAUCGUCCUCCCUCAAAGAUGAUGAUGCAUUACAAUGAGGCAGCCAAGAGACAAGUUUAAACCCAAAGAUGAAGCUGAUGCGCCCAUGGCAUCGUCCUCCCUCAAAGAUGAUGAGCAGGGCACACCGAUCUUCCUCAUGUUGAUACGCCCAUGGCAUCGUCCUCCCUCAAAGAUGAUGAGCAGGGCACACCGAUCUUCCUCAUGUUGAUAUGCCCAUGGCAUCGUCCUCCCUCAAAGAUGAUGAGCAGGGCACACCGAUCUUCCUCAUGUUGAUACGCCCAUGGCAUCGUCCUCCCUCAAAGAUGAUGAGCAGGGCACACCGAUCUUCCUCAUGUUGAUAUGCCCAUGGCAUCGUCCUCCCUCAAAGAUGAUGAGCAGGGCACACCGAUCGUCCUCAUGUUGAUACGCCCAUGGCAUCGUCCUCCCUCAAAGAUGAUGAGCAGGGCACACCGAUCUUUCUCAUGUUGAUACGCCCAUGGCAUCGUCCUCCCUCAAAGAUGAUGAGCAGGGCACACCGAUCUUCCUCAUGUUGAUAUGCCCAUGGCAUCGUCCUCCCUCAAAGAUGAUGAGCAGGGCACACCGAUCGUCCUCAUGUUGAUACGCCCAUGGCAUCGUCCUCCCUCAAAGAUGAUGAGCAGGGCACACCGAUCUUCCUCAUGUUGAUACGCCCAUGGCAUCGUCCUCCCUCAAAGAUGAUGAGCAGGGCAUACCGAUCUUCCUCAUGUUGAUAUGCCCAUGGCAUCGUCCUCCCUCAAAGAUGAUGAGCAGCAUUUCCUGAAAAUGGUGCUGAAGGGGAAAAUCCUCAAAGGAAACAAAAAUCUCCAUGAUGUCCCACAGAGAUUGGAGCAGUGAUGAGACAUUUCUGUGGGCACAUUGCUAAUGGGAGACUAUCCAUUGUGAUUAAAA